GCCGCCGUAGCUCAGUGGUAGAGCGCACCCAUGGUAAGGGUGAGGUCGAGAGUUCAAUCCUCUCCGGCGGCUCCA
RNAcentral lists this transfer RNA (75 nucleotides) under Acidobacteriota bacterium. RNAcentral describes it as "Acidobacteria bacterium tRNA-Thr". It matches the Rfam family "tRNA". From Rfam's summary of the family: Transfer RNA (tRNA) molecules are approximately 80 nucleotides in length. Their secondary structure includes four short double-helical elements and three loops (D, anti-codon, and T loops). Further hydrogen bonds mediate the characteristic L-shaped molecular structure. tRNAs have two regions of fundamental functional importance: the anti-codon, which is responsible for specific mRNA codon recognition, and the 3' end, to which the tRNAs corresponding amino acid is attached (by aminoacyl-tRNA synthetases). tRNAs cope with the degeneracy of the genetic code in two manners: having more than one tRNA (with a specific anti-codon) for a particular amino acid; and 'wobble' base-pairing, i.e. permitting non-standard base-pairing at the 3rd anti-codon position. The record is from RNAcentral. Lineage: Bacteria; Pseudomonadati; Acidobacteriota.